GCGGCACUAGCUCAGCUGGUAGAGCGCAACCUUGCCAAGGUUGAGGUCAUGAGUUCGAACCUCAUGUGCCGCUCCA
This 76-nucleotide transfer RNA is filed under the name Pseudoalteromonas xiamenensis. Its description in RNAcentral is "tRNA-Gly". It matches the Rfam family "tRNA". Rfam says of the family: Transfer RNA (tRNA) molecules are approximately 80 nucleotides in length. Their secondary structure includes four short double-helical elements and three loops (D, anti-codon, and T loops). The record is from RNAcentral. RNAcentral also lists the same sequence under 2 other names. Lineage: Bacteria; Pseudomonadati; Pseudomonadota; Gammaproteobacteria; Alteromonadales; Pseudoalteromonadaceae.